Molecule: ribosomal RNA, 126 nt
Filed under: Danio rerio (zebrafish)
Lineage: Eukaryota; Metazoa; Chordata; Actinopteri; Cypriniformes; Danionidae
Source: RNAcentral
AGGGAUGAGCACCACUGGUAUAGUAUAUGCCGGCAGCUUGCUCUCUGCAACUGUCAUAUGGUCACCCACUGAAGCUACCCGGUCAGUACCUGAAUGGGAGACCACAUGGGAAUCGCCUCAUCCAGG